Long non-coding RNA from Chinchilla lanigera (long-tailed chinchilla), 639 nucleotides. RefSeq lists it as uncharacterized. The record is from RefSeq and is a predicted model, not a curated record. The transcript is spliced from 4 exons. NCBI's taxonomy places the organism in Eukaryota, Metazoa, Chordata, Mammalia, Rodentia, Chinchillidae.
CUCUGGAGUUAAUUACAUCUGCAACCUUUGCUCCCUAGGUCUGUACAGAGUAUAGGUGCCUGUACUUCUGGUUGACAUCUAGACUCAACCCACAAAGAGUUUAAAUUUUGUACUUCUUGACAGAAACAUCAGUGGAGACGGACAACAAUAAGAUAAAACCUACCAGGCAAUAUCUUAUCACUGAUCCCCAUCUGGUAAAGUACAAGAAAUUCCCAGAGGAGAUUCUGGCAACCGAGACUGACAUCCCAAAUGAGCCUUUGGAAUAGAGGAUUCAAGACUACAAGACUAAGUUCAAAGACUAAAUUGAAAAAGCAGGUUCAUCUGAAAGAGAGAAGUGAGAGAGUGUGGAAGAAAGUGGCUCAAAAUAUGCAGAAGUAAGGUGUUUGUGAAGAACAGAGACAUUCUCGGACACAUCCAGGAUUACAGUGGUGUCUUGGAUGACACCCAGACCCAUCUGCCAGAAGAGACCAAUAGCAGAGGAGAAGAAAUCAAAGCUCAAGAUUAGAAUACAGCACUAAGAAACAAAGUGAUGAAAAUAAAAUCAUGAGUCCUACAUAGCACCACACCUUCAACCCAAACCCCUACCCCUAUUCCCACCCCUGCCAGGGUUCCGCUUCAAUCCAUGACUUCAUAUAUAAU